This 68-nucleotide transfer RNA is filed under the name Pheidole smythiesii. RNAcentral describes it as "tRNA-Asn". The record is from RNAcentral. Lineage: Eukaryota; Metazoa; Arthropoda; Insecta; Hymenoptera; Formicidae.
UUAAUUAAAACCAAAAUAGAGGUAAAUUAUUGUUAAUAAUUUUAUUGAAUAUGUAUAUUCUAAUUAAU